Molecule: long non-coding RNA, 355 nt
Organism: Ictalurus punctatus (channel catfish)
Lineage: Eukaryota; Metazoa; Chordata; Actinopteri; Siluriformes; Ictaluridae
Source: Ensembl
GAAAUACAUGUAUAUAGUAGGAGAAAUACAUGUAUAUAGUAGGAGAAAUACAUGUAUAUAGUAGGAGAAAUACAUGUAUAUAGUAGGUGAAAUACAUGUAUAUAGUAGGAGAAAUACAUGUAUAUAUAGUAGGAGAAAUACAUGUGUAUAUAGUAGGAGAAAUACAUGUAUAUAGUAGGAGAAAUACAUGUGUAUAUAGUAGGAGAAAUACAUGUGUAUAUAGUAGGAGAAAUACAUGUAUAUAGUAGGAGAAAUACAUGUGUAUAUAGUAGGAGAAAUACAUGUAUAUAGUAGGAGAAAUACAUGUGUAUAUAGUAGGAGAAAUACAUGUAUAUAGUAGGAGAAAUACAUGUGU